Sinocyclocheilus rhinocerous is the source of this 251-nucleotide long non-coding RNA. RefSeq lists it as uncharacterized. Lineage: Eukaryota; Metazoa; Chordata; Actinopteri; Cypriniformes; Cyprinidae. The transcript is spliced from 3 exons. The record is from RefSeq and is a predicted model, not a curated record.
UCUCUCACCCAGCAAAGCGCAAAAAGGAGGAUAAUGGCCCUCGCUCAACCCCACACUGGCCUGCCCAAUCUGUGAGCUACAUCCACCGCCUCACUCAUCCUUGCCACGAGCUCAGCCUGUUGAUGAGACAGAACAGAACACAACCUCUGCUCUGUGUGAUACAUAGGAGUUCUGGAUGAACGAGACUAUAACAUCUGGCAGAUGCGGCAGCACUAGGGUUGACACCAGAGAAGACACCAGUCCGGAUGAGC